RNAcentral lists this ribosomal RNA (303 nucleotides) under uncultured bacterium. Its description in RNAcentral is "partial 16S ribosomal RNA". It matches the Rfam family "Bacterial small subunit ribosomal RNA", at positions 507 to 808 of the family's 1533-position model. The record is from RNAcentral.
AGCAGUCGCCGCGGUAAUACGUAGGUCCCGAGCGUUGUCCGGAUUUAUUGGGCGUAAAGCGAGCGCAGGCGGUUAGAUAAGUCUGAAGUUAAAGGCUGUGGCUCAACCAUAGUAUGCUUUGGAAACUGUUUAACUUGAGUGCAGAAGGGGAGAGUGGAAUUCCAUGUGUAGCGGUGAAAUGCGUAGAUUUAUGGAGGAACACCGGUGGCGAAAGCGGCUCUCUGGUCUGUAACUGACGCUGAGGCUCGAAAGCGUGGGGAGCAAACAGGAUUAGAUACCCCAGUAGUCCCUGUCUCUUAUACA